AGAAUAGUAGUUUAAUAAAAAUUUUUAAUUUGCAUUUAAAAGAUAUUUUUUAUAAAUUUAUUUUA
RNAcentral lists this transfer RNA (65 nucleotides) under Meteorus sp. 2 XHS-2023a. RNAcentral's name for it is "tRNA-Ala". The record is from RNAcentral. Lineage: Eukaryota; Metazoa; Arthropoda; Insecta; Hymenoptera; Braconidae.